AAGGAAGACGGAGUUAGGGUUUCCUUCAAAGAUCGGCCGAGUUUAAGUGGCGAUUAUUUGGUGUACGUGUCGACUCACGAGGAUCCUGGUGAGUCUAGAACGAGUUGGGCGGCAGUGUACUCAAGGAGUUUGAAAUCCGGUAUAACUCGGCGAUUGACGCCUUACGGAAUCGCCGAUUUUAGCCCCUCUGUUUCGCCGUCUGGAAUUUGGACGGCUGUGGCUUCUUACGGUGAGAAGGGUUGGGCCGGCGAGGUUGAGGAACUAAGUACUGAUUUAUACAUCUUCCUAACUCGCGACGGAACACGUCGAGUUAAGGUCGUCGAACACGGUGGCUGGCCGUGUUGGGCUGACGAUUCAACUCUGUAUUUUCACCGGAGAGGUGAUGAUCAGUGGCUGAGUAUAUACAGAGCGAUUCUACCGAGUCAUGGAGAAGUUUCUCCCGAUUCAGUGAAAAUCGAACGACUCACACCACCUGGUUUGCACGUAUUCACUCCGGCCACUUCACCGGCCAACAAAAACCUCAUCGCCGUUGCAACGAGAAGACCCGAUUCAUCUUUUCGCCACAUAGAGCUGUUCAACCUCGUAACCAGAGAGUUCAAGGAGUUGACGAAAACGGUUUCGCCUAAAUCUCAUCAUUUCAAUCCGUUCAUCUCCGCCGACGGGACAAGUAUCGGUUACCACAAGUGCAGAGGCGACGACAAUGGAAGAAAAAACAACCCCCUAUUCUUAGAGAACGUUCGUAGCCCUGUCUCUAACUUAUCCUUAUUCAGAAUCGCCGGUUCUUUUCCCUCUUUUUCGCCUGCCGGUGACCGUAUAGCGUACGCGAACUUCCCGGGAUUAUACGUCAUCAAUCGGGACGGUUCGAACCGACGGGUGGUUUUCUCUGGCGCAGCGUUCUCCACCGCGUGGGACCCAGUGCGGGAAGGUGUAGUAUACACCAGCGCCGGUCCCGAUUUUGCGGCGGUGAGUUCUGAAGUCGAUAUCAUUGCAGUCAACGUCGAUGACGACGAGAGAAAUUUCAAGAAGCUGACGACGAACGGUGUAAACAAUGCCUUCCCAUCGCCGUCCCCCGACGGGAAAUGGAUCGUUUUCCGGUCGGGUCGAACCGGGUACAAGAACUUGUACAUAAUGGACGCCGUCGACGGUGAGAGAAAAGGGCUUCGCCGGCUUACAGAAGGCAAGUGGACGGAUACGAUGUGCAGUUGGUCGCCGGACGGUGAUUGGAUUGCAUUUUCAUCGGACCGGGAUAAUCCCGGAGCCGGAAGUUUCGAUCUGUUCUUGAUCCACCCGAACGGAACCGGGUUGAGGAAGCUGUUUCAAAGCGGCUCGGGCUGUGUGGGUUCGAUAUUGGCUCCGCAGAUAUUCCCGCAUUGUCUGUAGUGAACACUAGAACCUUCCCGUCGGGACUCCAAUUCGGGUGGU
RNAcentral lists this unclassified non-coding RNA (1422 nucleotides) under Hevea brasiliensis (rubber tree). Lineage: Eukaryota; Viridiplantae; Streptophyta; Magnoliopsida; Malpighiales; Euphorbiaceae. The record is from RNAcentral.